GGAUCAAGAUUUUUGACGUAACCCUAAUCUGAUGAGAUUAGGUCACCCAAAGUGUCUCAAUCAAUAAGGACUCUUCCUAAUUGAUUUUAGAAUUAAACUCUUUUAAUUUUCAUGAGUCCACAAGUCAAGGUUGAUAUCUAGUAACGUGUCAUGACUAUCCAAAAGAUUUAAAAUUUUGAUAAAAAAUUAUCAAAAUAUCUUUUACUGGCA
This 210-nucleotide long non-coding RNA is filed under the name Elaeis guineensis (African oil palm). Its description in RNAcentral is "long non-coding RNA (EGUI_LNC054609)". Lineage: Eukaryota; Viridiplantae; Streptophyta; Magnoliopsida; Arecales; Arecaceae. The record is from RNAcentral.